Molecule: long non-coding RNA, 253 nt
Filed under: Nicotiana benthamiana
Lineage: Eukaryota; Viridiplantae; Streptophyta; Magnoliopsida; Solanales; Solanaceae
Description: long non-coding RNA (NBEN_LNC022831)
Source: RNAcentral
CACAAUAAUCAAAGCUGUGCAAUUCACAUUGGCUCGAAAUGGGAAUUAGUUUUUACGAUGGAAGCCGAUAAACAGAGAGAGUAAAAGGAGAAACUUACGGAGCUCGCCGGAAGAUGCCGCCAGGUGUUGACAAGGAGAGGCGGGUUCGCGGUGCAGUGGCGGUCCGGCGGAGGGCAAUAAGGAGGGUUUAUCAACGAGGAGAAAAUAAAUGAGAAUAUAAUGCUGAAGGUUAAAGAAAUGUAAUUGAAAAAGC